UGCGUAGGCGGCCUUUUAAGUCAGAUGUGAAAGGCUGCGGCUUAACCGCAGGACUGCAUUUGAAACUGGAAGGCUUGAGUGUCGGAGAGGGUAGUGGAAUUCCCAGUGUAGCGGUGAAAUGCGUAGAUAUUGGGAGGAACACCAGUGGCGAAGGCGACUACCUGGACGAUAACUGACGNUGAGGCACGAAAGCUAGGGGAGCAAACAGGAUUAGAUACCCUGGUAGUCCUAGCCGUAAACGAUGGGUACUAGGUGUAGGUGGUUUCGAUACCAUCUGUGCCGCAGUUAACGCAAUAAGUACCCCGCCUGGGGAGUACGGUCGCAAGACUGAAACUCAAAGGAAUUGACGGGGGCCCGCACAAGCGGUGGAGCAUGUGGUUUAAUUCGAAGCAACGCGAAGAACCUUACCAGGUCUUGACAUCCCUGGACAGCCAUGGAAACAUGGUGUUCCUUCGGGACCAGGAGACAGGUGGUGCAUGGUUGUCGUCAGCUCGUGUCGUGAGAUGUUGGGUUAAGUCCCGCAACGAGCGCAACCCUUGCCUUUAGUUGCCAGCAUUAAGUUGGGGACUCUAAAGGGACUGCCGGUGACAAAUCGGAGGAAGGUGGGGAUGACGUCAAGUCAUCAUGCCCCUUAUGAUCUGGGCUACACACGUGCUACAAUGGGUGGUACAGAGGGCAGCGAAGGGGCGACCCGGAGCGAAUCCCAGAAAGCCACUCUCAGUUCGGAUUGCAGGCUGCAACUCGCCUGCAUGAAGUCGGAAUCGCUAGUAAUCGCAGGUCAGCAUACUGCGGUGAAUACGUUCCCGGGCCUUGUACACACCGCCCGUCACACCACGAAAGUUCGCAACACCCGAAGCCGGUGGCCUAACCGCAAGGAGGGAGCCGUCGAAGGUGGGGCGGAUGAUUGGGGUGAAGUCGUAACAAGGUAACCGUA
Molecule: ribosomal RNA, 934 nt
Filed under: uncultured bacterium
Lineage: Bacteria
Description: bacterial SSU rRNA
Rfam family: Bacterial small subunit ribosomal RNA
Source: RNAcentral